This is a long non-coding RNA of Gossypium arboreum, 389 nucleotides long. RefSeq lists it as uncharacterized. NCBI's taxonomy places the organism in Eukaryota, Viridiplantae, Streptophyta, Magnoliopsida, Malvales, Malvaceae. The transcript has 2 exons. The record is from RefSeq and is a predicted model, not a curated record.
AGUAAAGGUACCUUUCUUGGCUGAUCCCUUUUGCUUCAUGGCAUGCUCGUUUGGGUUGGGCGUCGGCUAAAAGUGCUCGGAGCGUGGAUUAACUCCAGUCUCCUAUCAGGUAAUUUCCAGCCUUAGAUGGAUCGGAGCUGCGAGGGGCUCGGAGGAAGCCACACACACUGUUUAUGUUACAGUUUUGAUUAUUACUUUUAAAUGUUUUUAUGUGGGUUGUAGUAAAGCAGUUGUAAUUUUCUGGAUUUCAAAUUUGGAAUUUUAUUUAUUGUUCUUAUAAUUGCUAGUAUUAGAACACGGUUUUCCAAAGCAACUACUGUUGUUCAAAACAUCACGUAUCCCCAAUUGUUUCUAUAUUAAGCUUCCGCAACUACCAAGAUUUUUACAAA